This 1988-nucleotide long non-coding RNA is filed under the name Helianthus annuus (common sunflower). Lineage: Eukaryota; Viridiplantae; Streptophyta; Magnoliopsida; Asterales; Asteraceae. The record is from RNAcentral.
UUUUGUCCGCCGCUCAUCUUCUCAUCCUCUCUCUCUAUGGCGAUUCCUGGCGAUUCAUCAGGCCUCUCUCUCGGAUCUCGCCAGAUCUCUCACCAGAUCUAUGAGGAUUUCACCAGAUCGAUGAAGAGCUUGUGAAGGUGUUGACUGAAUUAUGGAUUGUUUUUGAUCGAUUGGUAGAUCCUUUGUAAUAAUCUAUUUACCAAGCCCAAUAUUGGUCCGCAAAUUAAUGCAUCAACAGUUGGGAAAGCUCUGGUUGUGGAUAUCUGUUGGAGCACUCCUUGGGUUUUUGAUUAUCUUCAACAUAUUCUUUAUCGUAGCACUAACUUCCCUGAAUCCCCCGGUGUGAUGCUAAACCUGUGAUCAGAGAGGAAAAUGAUAUAAAGAAUUCAAAAAAUAACAGCUUACAGUAGGCUCAGCUGGGAUGGUCAAUCACAUGAGCUUUGGUGGACUUCCCGUGAAAACUGAGACAGCUGAAGAAGCUGAUGAACUUAUGAGAGUAGAUGAAAAGGCAUCUGAAGUUGAGGUAGAAGUUCUUUCAGCCCCUCCAAAGUUAGUUUACUGUAAAUUAAUCUUGCGCUUCACUAGAAAGCUAUUGGUGGCUGUAGCAGACAAGUGGGAUAGUCAUGUUCUGGUCAUGGACAAAGUUGCUCCACAAAACUGGAAGAAUGGAGUCAGCUUACAGGACAUGGGUCAGACAGAAGAAAGAAGGGGUUAAAUCAGUUGAUUUGGAUGAUCUUUGUAGGGAGCUUCAAACUGCUUUAGGCACAACAAAGUGGCAGAGACAAGAAAAAGUGUGUUUGUGAGAGAGAGAGAGAGAGAGCGACGGGAAGGAGAGUCCUUGGAGAAGGUAGAGGUGGCAAAGGGAACUAGGGUUCUAGCGACGAAUGUCUAUCUAGGUACUCAUUGAGAGUUUGAGACCUCGAAUCCAUCUAUUGCUUAACGAAUCAGGGAUAAUCUUGACAGGUUAUAAAGCUGGAGCCUCAUAUACAGAUGAAUGGGUCAAACGGUUCAAACUGUUGACCCACCCAAAACUUCAAUGUUCGUUCUUAACAACGAAGAGAUCACCUGCAGGCUACAUACGCAAGUUUUGAGGGGACGGGAUGACGGUGGUCAGGCAUCACUCUGGAGCAUAUUUCCAAAAGCAGUUGUCUAUUGUCAUGUUAAAGAGGCCAAGCAAAAUGUAUCAAGUUAAUUUGGCACACAAAGCGGAAGGAGGGAGCCUAAUGACUUCAAGAACUCCAACACAAACCAUGCUGAAUAUCGAAAUGAAGAGGCCAGUCCUGAUUCGUUGAAGCUGGGUCAACCCAUUUUAUUGACCUGUGAGUCUCCUGGCCACGCGAACUAUAACACGGUCGUAUACAGGGACCCAGAAUACUACGCUUAUAGUGUCGAAAAUCCCGAGUGAAGCUGGUGGAAUCUCGAAUAGGUUACUCAUUUGUGAGUAAACUGUGGCGAACAUGAUACCCGUGGCCCAAUAUUGGAAGCAACCGUAACACUGCUUUCAGUUCCUCAACCUGACUCACUGAGCAAAGCCUCCAUGGGUCUAUCGACCCGUUUGUAUGAUCCGUGGGUGCAACCACAGCUGCCUUAUCCAAAAAACUUUUGAUGCUGCUGGUGUUUUUCGUUUAUCCUUUAUUGCCUGCGAGAUCUCAAAAAACAUGCUGGAAAUAUUAUUGCAGUUAUUAUUGUUAUUUAAUAUGAAGUUUGUCUAUAAUAUUGACAUAAUAUGAAGUGGGUUAGUAUGAUGGUGAGAUGGCCUUUAUUAUUGCGUUUUUAUAUGUAGUUUUCUACUCUCAAAAUGAUAAUUGUUUAGAGUUUCGGGUUCACUGUUGCAUUGAAGGUUAUCUGGGUUUCUCGGUUGAUCAUUUUAUAUGGUUCCAGAUCCAUUGUUUUUGAUGUAUUGAGGGUUGACGGGUUUCUCAGCAGGAGUUUCGGGUUCACUGAUGCAUUGAAAGUUUCGGGACUGAGGCGCUAUAAAAAACGUGUAG